Molecule: ribosomal RNA, 253 nt
Filed under: uncultured bacterium
Lineage: Bacteria
Description: partial 16S ribosomal RNA
Rfam family: Bacterial small subunit ribosomal RNA
Source: RNAcentral
UACGUAGGGGGCUAGCGUUGUCCGGAAUUAUUGGGCGUAAAGAGCUUGUAGGCGGUUUGUCGCGUCUGCUGUGAAAUUUCGGGGCUCAACCCCGAACUUGCAGUGGGUACGGGCAGACUAGAGUGUGGUAGGGGAGACUGGAAUUCCUGGUGUAGCGGUGAAAUGCGCAGAUAUCAGGAGGAACACCGAUGGCGAAGGCAGGUCUCUGGGCCAUAACUGACGCUGAGAAGCGAAAGCAUGGGGAGCGAACAGG